Molecule: long non-coding RNA, 293 nt
Filed under: Mytilus galloprovincialis (Mediterranean mussel)
Lineage: Eukaryota; Metazoa; Mollusca; Bivalvia; Mytilida; Mytilidae
Source: RNAcentral
ACAUCAGUCAGGGCAGAGUCGACGUUGGUCAGGUCAAGUUUAAUAACACUUAAAAUUAGUUUUUUUGAAUAAUUUUAUUAUAUCUCUGUAUGCAAUGUUAGAAACUUCCUUGACAUCAAAGUUGAAGUCGAUCCUUCAAAAAACAAAAAAGUUAUUAGCAUUUUACAUCGGUCAGGACAUUAGUCACGGGAGGACGUAGUUGGUCAGGUCAAGUUUUCUAACUCUUGAAAAUAUUUUUUUUUCUUUUUUUCUAAUAUUUUUGUAUUUAAUGUUUUAUUCUUCCUUGGUAUCGA